UAAAAUAUGGAGAAAGAUUAAUUAGCAUGGAUUUUUCACUUCUUUAAGGGUAUAACUUAUGGGUGACUAUUGUGAUCAAAACAAGUGUCAAACAUAAGAUGUUCCAAAAAGUUAGCAUUGAUAUAUUAUUUAAAUAAGAUAGAGGUUCUGAGUAUUUUAUUUUUUCCCCUUUCCCUCUUCUCUCUUCAAUUUACUAGUCAGUCAUUAUAGAGGUUUUAAGUACACAUCCAAAAGAGGCUUCAAUCAAUUAUGUUGCUCCUGUUUCAUCACUUAAAUGUUGGUGUUAUUGAAGGGUUUCAGUUUUCUACAAAUAUUUGCUUAUUGAUAUUCUUAGUAG
RNAcentral lists this unclassified non-coding RNA (337 nucleotides) under Hevea brasiliensis (rubber tree). The record is from RNAcentral. Lineage: Eukaryota; Viridiplantae; Streptophyta; Magnoliopsida; Malpighiales; Euphorbiaceae.